UAUGGCAGAAUAGUGCAAUGAACUUAAGAUUCACAUAUGGGGAAUUAAAUCCCCUAUUAGAAA
Molecule: transfer RNA, 63 nt
Filed under: Miridae gen. n. sp. South Africa 273
Lineage: Eukaryota; Metazoa; Arthropoda; Insecta; Hemiptera; Miridae
Description: tRNA-Leu
Source: RNAcentral